RNAcentral lists this ribosomal RNA (268 nucleotides) under uncultured prokaryote. Its description in RNAcentral is "partial 16S ribosomal RNA". It matches the Rfam family "Bacterial small subunit ribosomal RNA", at positions 509 to 776 of the family's 1533-position model. The record is from RNAcentral.
CAGCAGCCGCGGUAAUACGUAGGGUGCGAGCGUUAAUCGGAAUUACUGGGCGUAAAGUGUGCGCAGGCGGCGUCGCAAGUCGAGUGUGAAAGCCCCGGGCUUAACUUGGGAAUUGCGCUCGAAACUACGGUGCUGGAGUAUGGCAGAGGAAGGUGGAAUUCCACGUGUAGCGGUGAAAUGCGUAGAGAUGUGGAGGAACACCGAUGGCGAAGGCAGCCUUCUGGGCCAAUACUGACGCUCAUGCACGAAAGCGUGGGGAGCAAACAGG